CCUACGGGUGGCAGCAGUGGGGAAUAUUGCACAAUGGGGGAAACCCUGAUGCAGCGACGCCGCGUGAGUGAAGAAGUAUUUCGGUAUGUAAAGCUCUAUCAGCAGGGAAGAAAUAGCGACCUUUGGGUCGCCAGACGGUACCUGAUUAAGAAGCCCCGGCUAACUACGUGCCAGCAGCCGCGGUAAUACGUAGGGGGCCAGCGUUAUCCGGAUGUACUGGGUGUAAAGGGAGCGGAGACGGCGGCGCAAGGCUGAAGUGAAAUGCCGGGGCUUAACCCCGGAACUGCUUUGGAAACUGGGCAGCUAGAGUGCAGGAGAGGUAAGUGGAAUUCCUAGUGUAGCGGUGAAAUGCGUAGAUAUUAGGAGGAACACCGGUGGCGAAGGCAGCUUACUGGACUGUAACUGACGUUGAGGCUCGAAAGCGUGGGGAGCAAACAGGAUUAGAUACCCGGGUAGUC
Molecule: ribosomal RNA, 458 nt
Filed under: uncultured bacterium
Lineage: Bacteria
Description: partial 16S ribosomal RNA
Rfam family: Bacterial small subunit ribosomal RNA
Source: RNAcentral